AUGCUGGGUGUAGAUCUCCUGCUUUGGCUAUGUUUAAAUAAGAACAAGCCUACACUACUACUUUCAGAAUAUUUCAGACUUCCUGAAGGCACAACUGCAAAUAAUUAUUUGCCAAGUCAUGAAGUUGGAUCAAUUGUGGGUAAACAUUUUCAAAUGAAAAAAGGCACAAGCAUUACAGCGUGGGGAAGCUUUUGUCACAAAGCAUUUCUGUCCUUUGCUUGAUACCUCACAUGUUUCAUUUCCUGAAGGGCAG
This 253-nucleotide long non-coding RNA is filed under the name Calidris pugnax (ruff). RNAcentral describes it as "lncRNA (ENSCPUG00000011194.1)". The record is from RNAcentral. Lineage: Eukaryota; Metazoa; Chordata; Aves; Charadriiformes; Scolopacidae.